UACGUAGGGUCCGAGCGUUGUCCGGAAUUAUUGGGCGUAAAGGGCUCGUAGGCGGUUUGUCGCGUCGGGAGUGAAAACCAGAGGCUUAACUUCUGGCUUGCUUUCGAUACGGGCAGACUUGAGGCAUGCAGGGGAGAACGGAAUUCCUGGUGUAGCGGUGAAAUGCGCAGAUAUCAGGAGGAACACCGGUGGCGAAGGCGGUUCUCUGUGCAUGUUCUGACGCUGAGGAGCGAAAGCGUGGGGAGCGAACAGG
Molecule: ribosomal RNA, 253 nt
Filed under: uncultured bacterium
Lineage: Bacteria
Description: partial 16S ribosomal RNA
Rfam family: Bacterial small subunit ribosomal RNA
Source: RNAcentral